UAUAAUUAUGGUCUUCUUCACGGGUGAAUUUGCAGUAGUCACAAAACUCGUGAAAGUUGGUUCACAUCUGCGGUUCUGACGUAGGAUUACCCUUAGGUGCGAGAGUUGAUAAAGCAGGCGCAUGCGCGAGACACUGUGCAGCAUUUUAAUUACAAAGCGCUUGAAGAACUGGUUUCAUGGGGCUUGAAGAUUCUAGAUGCUCCACCCAGAACCUCAGUGGCCAGGAGGAACACUUGCUGACUGCCAUGAAAUGAACCAGCCGAACAAGAUUCUUCGUACCUCUCUGCA
Long non-coding RNA from Cryptotermes secundus, 288 nucleotides. RefSeq lists it as uncharacterized. The transcript is spliced from 3 exons. The record is from RefSeq and is a predicted model, not a curated record. Lineage: Eukaryota; Metazoa; Arthropoda; Insecta; Blattodea; Kalotermitidae.